Molecule: transfer RNA, 77 nt
Filed under: Candidatus Bathyarchaeota archaeon RBG_13_52_12
Lineage: Archaea; Thermoproteati; Candidatus Bathyarchaeota
Also listed under: 2 other names
Description: tRNA-Pro
Rfam family: tRNA
About the family: Transfer RNA (tRNA) molecules are approximately 80 nucleotides in length.
Source: RNAcentral
GGGAUCGUAGUCUAGCUUGGUAUGAUACGCGGUUCGGGACCGCGUGAUCCCCGGUUCAAAUCCGGGCGAUCCCACCA